Molecule: non-coding RNA, 28 nt
Filed under: Mus musculus (house mouse)
Lineage: Eukaryota; Metazoa; Chordata; Mammalia; Rodentia; Muridae
Source: RNAcentral
ACUCAGAGAUCCACCUGCCUUUGCCGCC